RNAcentral lists this unclassified non-coding RNA (343 nucleotides) under soil metagenome. RNAcentral's name for it is "partial contains 5.8S ribosomal RNA, internal transcribed spacer 2, and large subunit ribosomal RNA". The stretch from base 1 to 120 matches the Rfam family "5.8S ribosomal RNA", at positions 35 to 154 of the family's 154-position model. The record is from RNAcentral.
GAUGAAGAACGCAGCGAAACGCGAUAAGUAAUGUGAAUUGCAGAAUCCAGUGAAUCAUCGAAUCUUUGAACUCACAUUGCGCCCGCCAGCAUUCUGGCGGGCAUGCCUGUUCGAGCGUCAUUUCAACCCUCGACCUCCCCUUGGGGAGGUCGGCGUUGGGGACCGGCAGCACACCGCCGGCCCUGAAAUGGAGUGGCGGCCCGUCCGCGGCGACCUCUGCGCAGUAAUACAGCUCGCACCGGGACCCCGACGCGGCCACGCCGUAAAACACCCAACUUCUGAACGUUGACCUCGAAUCAGGUAGGACUACCCGCUGAACUUAAGCAUAUCAAUAAGCGGAGGA